Molecule: ribosomal RNA, 465 nt
Filed under: uncultured Aquabacterium sp.
Lineage: Bacteria; Pseudomonadati; Pseudomonadota; Betaproteobacteria; Burkholderiales; Sphaerotilaceae
Description: bacterial SSU rRNA
Rfam family: Bacterial small subunit ribosomal RNA
Source: RNAcentral
CCUACGGGUGGCUGCAGUGGGGAAUUUUGGACAAUGGGCGCAAGCCUGAUCCAGCAAUGCCGCGUGCAGGAAGAAGGCCUUCGGGUUGUAAACUGCUUUUGUCAGGGAAGAAAUCUUCUGGGCUAAUACCCCGGGAGGAUGACGGUACCUGAAGAAUAAGCACCGGCUAACUACGUGCCAGCAGCCGCGGUAAUACGUAGGGUGCGAGCGUUAAUCGGAAUUACUGGGCGUAAAGCGUGCGCAGGCGGCUUUGCAAGACAGAUGUGAAAUCCCCGGGCUCAACCUGGGAACUGCAUUUGUGACUGCAAGGCUAGAGUACGGCAGAGGGGGAUGGAAUUCCGCGUGUAGCAGUGAAAUGCGUAGAUAUGCGGAGGAACACCAAUGGCGAAGGCAAUCCCCUGGGCCUGUACUGACGCUCAUGCACGAAAGCGUGGGGAGCAAACAGGAUUAGAUACCCCUGUAGUC